Molecule: long non-coding RNA, 630 nt
Organism: Leptidea sinapis
Lineage: Eukaryota; Metazoa; Arthropoda; Insecta; Lepidoptera; Pieridae
Exons: 2
Source: RefSeq, a predicted model, not a curated record
CUUAAAGGUACUUACUUAGUCGUAAAUACGUAUGUAAUUUCUAACAAGUUUCUAACAAAGGUCUAGAUGUGGCCAGGUAGCAAUCAAUACUGAGAGACGGACCGCGCAUGCGCGAGAAACAUGUCCGCCAAACAUAGCUUUGAUCGAAAUUGUGAAAACACAACAUUGAAAAAUAGAAAUAUUGAAAAAAACAUGGCGUCAGAAAAGGAGAAUCACGUUACUAAAGAAACUGAAGAGGUUCGAGGUUCGAUCGACGAGCUCAAAGAGCGGUUAUCAUCAAUGAAGCGGAUCCUAGAAGAUCGGAAUUCGUCAGGGUCUGGCACUAAAGAUCUAUUCCAGGGUCACGCACCGAGCAUGGAGGGCACCACCAUGAUUGAUGGCAGCUUCCUGAGCUUCGUAUUUGGUGGCUCCCUCGUCGUGAUCAUAAGCGUCUCAUUUUACGCUUUCUACAAUCUGUACCAUGCAGUUUUGAAGAAAUUCCCCUCGCCUCAUACGGAAUUGUAAAUUCUCCCCAUUUUUAGGGUAUCGGAGAAACUUGUGGCCAAAGAAAGGCUUGAGACUGCGCAUUCCUUUUAAUUAUAAGUAUUUCCUAUAUUAUAAUAAGAUGUAUAAUAAAUGAUUAUACAUUGC